UAAAUGAGCGUGUUGCGUAGUCAGGGACCUUUUUUUCCUUUCUGCUGCUGAAAAUGGUGUAGUGUUUUUUUUUCAGUAGUGAAAUAGAAAAUUGUCAGAGAAAUUGAUAUAAGUCAUCAACUAGAAAAGUUAUGCCAACUUCUGUUUGGAUAUCAGCUGUUUGGUCACCAAGGGGUGUAUCCUGCUGCCUUUGUUCCCUGGUGGAUGAAACAGACACAAUGGUCAUGCACUGGAGCCUGAAUGCUUGGGAAGGAAGGGACUAAACCUCUUUAUGGAAAAAGAUUACAAUCCUGCCACUGGAAUUUUUAGUUCCACUUUUAUCCUGGAACAGGACUGCGAAUACAAAGAUCGUCGUUUGUUUCGUGUUUCCCCAGCUCUGGGCACGGACACACAGAUGCUGCAGCUCUGCACAGCUCAGUACAGCUCCCCAGGAGAUGGGGGUGUGCAGUGCACGUCCCUGCCUCCAGACAUGAGCUGAGGCAGUGGGGACGGCCCCAAGGCGUGCUGGUGGCUGUGGCUUCAAAGAGGCUUUUCUCCCAGUUUGCUGUAACACAGGGAAGAGGGAGACCCAAGACAUCCAUGCCAAUCUGCACGCUGUAUUAUCGACUUCUUUAUCUGCCUAUUUACAUAGUGGCUUUAGUUUAGUUUACCUACUAUUGCUCGGGGGCUCUGAUUUAUCAGCUGCAUCUCGGUGGAAAAGGGAGCUGGCAAAGGCCUUAUCAUUUAAUUUUGCUAACGUCCUUCAUUUCUAAUUUAUACACCCAGCUCUGUGACAAAUUGAAUUUGUAUAACACAGUAAACAAAAGCACUCCUAACUCUAGUUUCCUGUAAUGGAAUAACAUUGUUGGAAACAGACAUUAAGUGGAACAGACAGAGCUGGGGAAAGGGCUUGGCUUCCU
Molecule: non-coding RNA, 899 nt
Organism: Meleagris gallopavo (turkey)
Lineage: Eukaryota; Metazoa; Chordata; Aves; Galliformes; Phasianidae
Source: RefSeq, a predicted model, not a curated record